ACCGAAGUGGUGAAAUUGGUAGACACGCUAUCUUGAGGUGAUAGUACUUAAUUUAAAUAAGUAUAUGGGUUCGAUUCCCAUCUUCGGUA
Molecule: transfer RNA, 89 nt
Filed under: Buchnera aphidicola BCc
Lineage: Bacteria; Pseudomonadati; Pseudomonadota; Gammaproteobacteria; Enterobacterales; Erwiniaceae
Description: tRNA-Leu (GAG) (tRNA-Leu-GAG-1-1)
Rfam family: tRNA
About the family: Transfer RNA (tRNA) molecules are approximately 80 nucleotides in length. Their secondary structure includes four short double-helical elements and three loops (D, anti-codon, and T loops).
Source: Rfam by way of RNAcentral